CCUACGGGAGGCAGCAGUGGGGAAUAUUGCGCAAUGGGCGAAAGCCUGACGCAGCGACGCCGCGUGAGGGAUGAAGGUCUUCGGAUCGUAAACCUCUGUCAGCAGGGAAGAACGGUCACUGUGCUAAUCAGCAGUGAAUUGACGGUACCUGCAAAGGAAGCACCGGCUAACUCCGUGCCAGCAGCCGCGGUAAUACGGAGGGUGCGAGCGUUAAUCGGAAUUACUGGGCGUAAAGCGCUCGUAGGCGGUAUGUCAAGUCAAGGGUGAAAUCCCCGCGCUCAACGUGGGAACUGCCUUUGAAACUGGCAAACUUGAGUGUGUGAGAGGAUAGUGGAAUUCCAGGUGUAGGAGUGAAAUCCGUAGAUAUCUGGAGGAACAUCAGUGGCGAAGGCGACUAUCUGGCACAUAACUGACACUGAGGCUCGAAAGUGUGGGUAUCAAACAGGAUUAGAUACCCGUGUAGUC
This 465-nucleotide ribosomal RNA is filed under the name uncultured bacterium. RNAcentral's name for it is "partial 16S ribosomal RNA". It matches the Rfam family "Bacterial small subunit ribosomal RNA", at positions 338 to 795 of the family's 1533-position model. The record is from RNAcentral.